Molecule: ribosomal RNA, 833 nt
Filed under: uncultured Bacteroidota bacterium
Lineage: Bacteria; Pseudomonadati; Bacteroidota
Description: bacterial SSU rRNA
Rfam family: Bacterial small subunit ribosomal RNA
Source: RNAcentral
AUGCAAGUCGAGGGGAAACGACAUUGAAGCUUGCUUCGAUGGGCGUCGACCGGCGCACGGGUGAGUAACGCGUAUCCAACCUGCCUCUGACUAAGGGAUAACCCGGCGAAAGUCGGACUAAUACCUUAUGAGGUUUUCUGCAGACAUCUAACGAAAACGAAAGAUUUAUCGGUCAGUGAUGGGGAUGCGUCUGAUUAGCUUGUUGGCGGGGUAACGGCCCACCAAGGCAACGAUCAGUAGGGGUUCUGAGAGGAAGGUCCCCCACAUUGGAACUGAGAUACGGUCCAAACUCCUACGGGAGGCAGCAGUGAGGAAUAUUGGUCAAUGGGCGAGAGCCUGAACCAGCCAAGUAGCGUGCAGGAUGACGGCCCUAUGGGUUGUAAACUGCUUUUAUGUGGGGAUAAAGUGAGCUACGUGUAGUUUAUUGCAGGUACCACAUGAAUAAGGACCGGCUAAUUCCGUGCCAGCAGCCGCGGUAAUACGGAAGGUCCAGGCGUCAUCCGGAUUUAUUGGGUUUAAAGGGAGCGUAGGCCGUGGAUUAAGCGUGUUGUGAAAUGUAGACGCUCAACGUCUGAAUUGCAGCGCGAACUGGUUCACUUGAGUAUGCACAACGUAGGCGGAAUUCGUCGUGUAGCGGUGAAAUGCUUAGAUAUGACGAAGAACUCCGAUUGCGAAGGCAGCUUACGGGAGCACAACUGACGCUGAAGCUCGAAGGUGCGGGUAUCAAACAGGAUUAGAUACCCUGGUAGUCCGCACAGUAAACGAUGGAUGCCCGUUGUUAGUUCACUUUAGAAUUAGCGACCAAGCGAAAGCAUUAAGCAUCCCACCUGGGG